This 483-nucleotide ribosomal RNA is filed under the name uncultured bacterium. Its description in RNAcentral is "partial 16S ribosomal RNA". It matches the Rfam family "Bacterial small subunit ribosomal RNA", at positions 30 to 508 of the family's 1533-position model. The record is from RNAcentral.
AUUGAACGCUGGCGGCAUGCCUUACACAUGCAAGUCGAACGGUAACAGGUCUUCGGAUGCUGACGAGUGGCGAACGGGUGAGUAAUACAUCGGAACGUGCCCGAUCGUGGGGGAUAACGAAGCGAAAGCUUUGCUAAUACCGCAUACGAUCUACGGAUGAAAGCAGGGGACCGCAAGGCCUUGCGCGAACGGAGCGGCCGAUGGCAGAUUAGGUAGUUGGUGGGAUAAAAGCUUACCAAGCCGACGAUCUGUAGCUGGUCUGAGAGGACGACCAGCCACACUGGGACUGAGACACGGCCCAGACUCCUACGGGAGGCAGCAGUGGGGAAUUUUGGACAAUGGGCGAAAGCCUGAUCCAGCCAUGCCGCGUGCAGGAUGAAGGCCUUCGGGUUGUAAACUGCUUUUGUACGGAACGAAAAGACUCUGGUUAAUACCUGGGGUCCAUGACGGUACCGUAAGAAUAAGCACCGGCUAACUACGUGC